UUUCCGUUCUUAUUUCAACAG
Caenorhabditis elegans is the source of this 21-nucleotide non-coding RNA. NCBI's taxonomy places the organism in Eukaryota, Metazoa, Nematoda, Chromadorea, Rhabditida, Rhabditidae. The record is from Ensembl.